CUUCAGGUUUAUUCUUUGUUACGGAUACAUAAUAAAACAUAAUAAAUUAUGUUACAGGAUAAUGGACAUUCAACAGCAGAUGGUAAUUGCUGGACUUCUGAUGGGAGAGUUACAUCGUUGUACAGAGCCAAGAGCUAAGCCAAGUGUGAGAGACCUCGUGUCCCUCUGUUACUAUAUAGAAGUGCUAAUACUAACAUCAGCAUUUACCUCUAGCCAUAUAAGGACAAGACCCCCGAAUCCACAUUCCAGAGCUCUCGGACAAAGAAAGCCUUGUGACUUAUUGAUACCAUCUGUUACUUAUGUCAAUCCACACCUCCAUAUAUAUAAUCAAUAGAAAUAUAGAAUAUGCAAUAUUCUACAGAUGGCGAACCUUUUUGAGCCCGAGUGCCCAAACCGUAAUACAUGCCAACUUUUUUUUCCUUAAAGUGCCAACACGGCAAUUAAACCUCAAUACUGAGGUUUAAGUUUAG
Non-coding RNA from Pelobates cultripes (western spadefoot toad), 470 nucleotides. The record is from the annotation of a GenBank genome assembly. Lineage: Eukaryota; Metazoa; Chordata; Amphibia; Anura; Pelobatidae.